AACGCGAAGAACCUUACCUGGUCUUGACAUCCACAGAACCUGGCAGAGAUGCCGGGGUGCCUUCGGGAACUGUGAGACAGGUGCUGCAUGGCUGUCGUCAGCUCGUGUUGUGAAAUGUUGGGUUAAGUCCCGCAACGAGCGCAACCCUUAUCCUUUGUUGCCAGCGGUCCGGCCGGGAACUCAAAGGAGACUGCCAGUGAUAAACUGGAGGAAGGUGGGGAUGACGUCAAGUCAUCAUGGCCCUUACGACCAGGGCUACACACGUGCUACAAUGGCGCAUACAAAGAGAAGCGACCUCGCGAGAGCAAGCGGACCUCAUAAAGUGCGUCGUAGUCCGGAUUGGAGUCUGCAACUCGACUCCAUGAAGUCGGAAUCGCUAGUAAUCGUGAAUCAGAAUGUCACGGUGAAUACGUUCCCGGGCCUUGUACACACCG
RNAcentral lists this ribosomal RNA (434 nucleotides) under uncultured Enterobacter sp. RNAcentral's name for it is "bacterial SSU rRNA". It matches the Rfam family "Bacterial small subunit ribosomal RNA", at positions 958 to 1392 of the family's 1533-position model. The record is from RNAcentral. Lineage: Bacteria; Pseudomonadati; Pseudomonadota; Gammaproteobacteria; Enterobacterales; Enterobacteriaceae.